AUCUACGGCCAUGCCACCCUGAACGUGCCUGAUCUCCUCUGAUCUCGGAAGCUAAGCAGGGUCGGGUCUGGCUAGUACUUGAAUGAGAGUCCACGCAGGAAGACCAGGUGCUGUAGGCA
Molecule: ribosomal RNA, 119 nt
Filed under: Pteropus alecto (black flying fox)
Lineage: Eukaryota; Metazoa; Chordata; Mammalia; Chiroptera; Pteropodidae
Source: RNAcentral